GACGAACGCUGGCGGCGUGCUUAACACAUGCAAGUCGAACGGAAAGGCCCUGCUUUUGUGGGGUGCUCGAGUGGCGAACGGGUGAGUAACACGUGAGUAACCUGCCCUUGACUUUGGGAUAACUUCAGGAAACUGGGGCUAAUACCGGAUAGGAGCUCCUGCUGCAUGGUGGGGGUUGGAAAGUUUCGGCGGUUGGGGAUGGACUCGCGGCUUAUCAGCUUGUUGGUGGGGUAGUGGCUUACCAAGGCUUUGACGGGUAGCCGGCCUGAGAGGGUGACCGGCCACAUUGGGACUGAGAUACGGCCCAGACUCCUACGGGAGGCAGCAGUGGGGAAUAUUGCACAAUGGGCGGAAGCCUAAUGCAGCCACGCCGCGUGCGGGAUGACGGCCUUCGGGUUGUAAACCGCUUUCGCCUGUGACGAAGCGUGAGUGACGGUAAUGGGUAAAGAAGCACCGGCUAACUACGUG
This 468-nucleotide ribosomal RNA is filed under the name uncultured bacterium. Its description in RNAcentral is "partial 16S ribosomal RNA". It matches the Rfam family "Bacterial small subunit ribosomal RNA", at positions 28 to 507 of the family's 1533-position model. The record is from RNAcentral.